AUGGGCGUCAUUACCCCAGUACGUGUAUGAAGACACGGAUGUUGUGACUCCUCUUUGUGUACAACCAGAGACAUGCAAAAUUGUGCUCUAUGUGUGUACUAGGAAUUGGAAUGCACUGUGCUGUCAUGUAUAACAAAUUAGAAUGAAUAAAGAAAAAUUAAAAAAUCUUGUAUAUAGUGUAGAGUGGGGCCUUAUUUUUUUAAUCCAAUUUGACAACUUCUGCCUUUUAAUUAUGAUGUGUGGGCUCUGGACAUCUAAAGUGGUCAUGGACAUGGCUGAGUCGUGGGUCAUCAGCUGUACACGUUCCCUGUCGUGGUUUCUGUUCAGUCACUGUCUUCAUCUUUAACUUAAUGACAUGCCUCCAAAUAAUGAUCGGCUGGGCUGGGCUGGGGCCCAGUGGCAGAGCGCUGGCCCGGCACGUGUGAGGCUCUGGGUUCGAUCCUCACCACCGCAUAAAAAUCAAUACACAAGAUAACGGCAUUCUGUCUAUCUACAGCUAGAAAAGCCUGUUUUUAAGUGAUGAUGGGCUGCUUCCCCUCCAGCUUGGAGACCUUUACUCAUGUGCUGUCUGCUUUCCGUCCUGCCUGCUGUUGUCCCGAGUACCACGUCCUCCUGUGUCAUAGCCUUCUAGCACAUUACGUCUUCCCCUGGGAGGUCAGUUAUGUUUUAAAUUUUUAAAAAUCAAUUUAAAUGCCUCUCCCCUGCCUCUCCCCUGCCUCUCUCCCCUGCCUCUCCCCUGCCUCUCCCCCUGCCUCUCUCCCCUGCCUCUCCCCUGUCUCUCCCUGUGCUCCAGCCCAGACUCUCUCCAGGUUGGGAGCUGGGCUGCGGCAGGGCAGGAGGGCUAAAUGCUGAGGGCAGGCUCUGGGCCCCGGAGCCUCACGCCUGCUGGCCAGGCUGCACAUGCUGCUGGGCUGGUGACCACCUCCCCCUCAGGAUCCCGCAGCCUCAGCUCCUCUCUGACGCUGCCUUGUGCCUUCACAGGGGGAUCAGUGGCCUUCGAGACCGCACCUGUUUCCUGAGCAAGCAGGCAGGAAACAGACGUUGAAGGAGUACCGCUAAGAGGUGUGCCUUCACCUGCUCCCUGGGAAUCCAUCUUGUCACCAGUGCACACCUGAGGCAGGUAAUACCAUCUACUCUAUCCUCUCCACCCUGGGGCAGGUACUGCCACCCACUCCAGCCUCUGCACACACCUGAGGCAGGUACUGCAUUCCCUCCAUCCUCUCCACCCAGAGGCAGGUACCACCAUCCUCUGCACACACCUGAAGCAGGUAUUUCCACACCUGUCCCGAGGCCAGGAUGCCCCCCGCAGCACCCACCAGGCCUCAGAGUUACUAAGUGCAGCUGUUCCCGCGGCUCUUCCCCCAGGGAAACUUGCCCACCCGCUUCCUACAAUCAGGUCAGACCUCCAGACGCAGGGAGGAGGCCCUGGCAAUGCCCUGGACCCUGCUUCCUGGGGGCACCUGCUGCCUUCCAUCGCCAGAGGUCUCAGGGGGACCCUCAGGUCUACCUUCAGUGUCCAGCUGAUCUUACAGGCGAGGACCUUUAAGGAAGACUUUAGGUGAAAGUUCUCCAGACAUUUCUGGAAAAAUACAAAGUGACAAAUCUGGCCCAGGAGGAAAUAGAAAACUCAAGAUGUGAAAAGCGGGAGAGGAAGACCUCACCCUUCUGCAGAGAGCCCCGAGGCCACACAGUCUGCCGAGGAGCAGGCGAAGGCCCAGAUGCUGCCGACCUCGUUUCACCUUGAAGGACGGGGGUCACUCCCGUUCAAGGUCAGGUAAGGGCUAGAAAAGAAGAGAGGAAAAAGCGUGUAGGCCCACUUUCCUUAUGCCAUCGUAGAAGAUCUUGAACACUGUGUGAAUGAUUCCUAGCUGACGGGCCCCAACAGUGUUGGGGUUUGUGGUUGUUGUGGUACGGGGUGCUCUGCCACAGAGCCACAGCCCAACCCUUCUUAUUUUCUAUUUUGAGGAAGGGUCUUGCUAAGUCACAGGCUGGCCUCAAAUUUGCAAUCCUUUGGCUUCAGGCUCCCAAGCCAUUGGGAUGACAGGUGCCACCACACCUGGCCAACAGUGUUUGGAACAGAGACAAGAACUGCUCAAAUUCAAAAAGACUCCACAUGGUGGCAGGAAUGCAGGGUGACCGGAAUUCUCCACCGUGUAGGUGGGCUGUUUUGGAAAAGACUUGGUGUUUUAUUAUGAAUCUAAACGUUCAAUUACCCCAUGACCCAGCGACCCCACUCCAAGAUGUUUACACGAGAGAAAUAAAAAUGCAUGUCCAGAAAAUGACAAGAAUGUUCAUAACAAUUUUAUUCAUAAUAUCUUUUUAAAAUAGAAACAGUCCACAUGUCCAUCGACGGGAGAAUGGGCUAUCAAACUGUGGUCUAGUGCAAUUGGGGUUUACAUCUGCCCCAGAUUCAUAUGUUGGAAGCUAAUGUGUGUUAGAUUAAAAGGUGGGAAGUGGUUAAGUCACGAGCUGCACCUCAUGAGGGGCCGGUGCCCUUACAGGAGAGGCCCUAGCCAGCUCCCUGCCCCUUCCACCACGAGAGGGCCGGUUGAGAAGCGCCAUCUUGGAGCAGAGGGCAGCCCUCCCCCGACACCCAGUCUGCCAGUGCCUUGGUCUUGGCUGGACUCCCCAGAUGCAGACUGUGAGCACUUGGUUUCUGUCACUCACCAGCGGCCGGCCCGAGGGGCUUUGCUACUGCAGCCUGAGCCGGUCAAGACAGUGUCCCGCUCAGCAGGGACAACGUGCACACCGCCAACCCGUUCAAAGACAGGGGUCUCAAAAUCUUUAUGUUGACGGACAGAAGCCAGACACAGAAGGACACAUGCCAUGCAAUCCGAAGUUGUGGAGUGGACAGACGAGUUCACGGUGGGGGAUAGCAGAGCUGUGCUCACCCAGGAAGGUGGGGGCUGGGAAGGGCAGGGAGGAGCUGCUGGGGCGAGUGUCCGCAUCUCCACCAGGGUGGGGCCCAUGGUGUGCACCUGGCCAAACCUCC
This 2992-nucleotide long non-coding RNA is filed under the name Marmota monax (woodchuck). The record is from RNAcentral. Lineage: Eukaryota; Metazoa; Chordata; Mammalia; Rodentia; Sciuridae.